UACGAAGGGGGGCUAGCGUUGCUCGGAAUCACUGGGCGUAAAGGGUGCGUAGGCGGGUCUUUUAAGUCAGGGGUGAAAUCCUGGAGCUCAACUCCAGAACUGCCUUUGAUACUGAGGAUCUUGAGUUCGGGGAGAGGUGAGUGGAACUGCGAGUGUAGAGGUGAAAUUCGUAGAUAUUCGCAAGAACACCAGUGGCGAAGGCGGCUCACUGGCCCGAUACUGACGCUGAGGCACGAAAGCGUGGGGAGCAAACAGG
This 256-nucleotide ribosomal RNA is filed under the name uncultured bacterium. RNAcentral's name for it is "partial 16S ribosomal RNA". It matches the Rfam family "Bacterial small subunit ribosomal RNA", at positions 524 to 776 of the family's 1533-position model. The record is from RNAcentral.